This 438-nucleotide ribosomal RNA is filed under the name uncultured bacterium. Its description in RNAcentral is "bacterial SSU rRNA". It matches the Rfam family "Bacterial small subunit ribosomal RNA", at positions 338 to 769 of the family's 1533-position model. The record is from RNAcentral.
CCUACGGGGGGCAGCAGUGGGGAAUCUUCCGCAAUGGGCGAAAGCCUGACGGAGCAACGCCGCGUGAUCGAAUGAAGGCCUUCGGGUUGUAAAGAUCUGUUGACAGGGACGAAUAAGCAAUGCGAAUAGUUUUGUGUAUGACGGUACCUGUUUAGAAAGCUCCGGCUAACUACGUGCCAGCAGCCGCGGUAAUACGUAGGGAGCAAGCGUUGUCCGGAAUUACUGGGCGUAAAGGGCGCGUAGGUGGGCGCUUAAGUCAGGUGUGAAAACUCCGGGCUCAACCUGGAGACUGCACUUGAAACUGGGUGUCUUGAGGGCAGGAGAGGAAAGUGGAAUUCCUAGUGUAGCGGUGAAAUGCGUAGAUAUUAGGAGGAACACCAGUGGCGAAGGCGACUUUCUGGACUGUACCUGACGCUGAGGCGCGAAAGCGUGGGUAGC